This 489-nucleotide ribosomal RNA is filed under the name uncultured bacterium. Its description in RNAcentral is "partial 16S ribosomal RNA". It matches the Rfam family "Bacterial small subunit ribosomal RNA", at positions 28 to 507 of the family's 1533-position model. The record is from RNAcentral.
GAUGAACGCUAGCGGCAGGCCUAAUACAUGCAAGCCGAACGGCAAGUUUGAUAGCAAUAUUGGACCUAGAGUGGCGCAAGGGUGCGUAACACGUAUGCAACCUGCCCGCGACAGGAGGAUAGCUCCCCGAAAGGGGAAUUAACCCUCCAUAACACCAUGAGAAGGCAUCUGAUUAUGGUUAAACCGCAAGGGGUCGCGGAUGGGCAUGCGGUUGAUUAGCUAGUUGGCGGGGUAAAGGCCCACCAAGCCGAUGAUCAAUAGGUGGUCUGAGAGGACGACCAGCCACACGAGGAGUGAGACACGGCCCAGACUCCUACGGGAGGCAGCAGUGGGGAAUGUUGGACAAUGGGCGCAAGUCUGAUCCAGCAAUGCCGCGUGCGGGAAGAAGGCCUUCGGGGUGUAAGACGCUUUUGUACGGAACGACAAGGCUCUGGCUAAUACCUGGGGCUGAGGACGGUACCGUAAGAAUAAGCACCGGCUAACUACGUG